GGAGCCGUGGUGUCCUCGUGUGCAAGAUAGGAGUGAAUGACACCUCGCAUCACUAGGGCCGUGCUCAGAAAUGCACUGAUCAUGGGGAAGGGGCUGCAGCGGCCAGCGCACCCGAGGGGACACGUGCCUUGCGUCGUCCCUGUCACCCUCACUCUGCAGAUGGAGGAGGCAGCUCGUAGCUCUGAUUUGACAGCUGACAGAAAACCAAAGAGCAUGGACUUUCCGUUUCCUGCCCUAGCUCUGCCACUUUCUAACCAGGAGCCCAGAACUUGGUGCAUUUUUGUUAGAAACAGCAGAAGCCAUCGGACGCAGGCCCGGGAGGUCAGGUUAAGGAACCAGUGAUGGUUUCUGCCAGCUGCCAGCUCUGUCCAUCCCAAUUAUACACCUGGAGACCCAUAGGCCCUUGUGAGACGGACAUGGGCCUAACUCUACGCGCCAUGUGGCUUUCAUAAGACCCCUCUACAGCCCAAGGUGCCGCUCUGCUUGUCUGCUCAGCGGCGACUCAGAGCCUGGACAGUUUCCAAGGUCUGCUCUUUCCCGUUACCACUGCAGUCUUCCCAGCACACGCAUGCAGGUCCCUUUGGGGAAGCAUCGACCAAAGGGACCUGCAGCCUACGUGUGGGGUCCUUCCUCAGGUGAACCUGACUCCCCCUUCAGUCAGUGAGCUCCGAGCCUGUGAGCUGACUCAGGUGUGGGACUUGGACCAUGACCUGCAGGUUUUUGUUCAUUGCUGAGCAAUGCCUCUUGGUGCCUUCCUGUCUCCGUUCGGGCUGCUGUGAUGAAACACCAAGCCUGGCCACGCCCCAGAGGACAGGGGCCCCAUCAGGAGGUGAGAUCGUGAUGCCAGCCAGGCUCCUUGUUGAUCAAGUUACCGAGGGUCUACCCAGCAGAUGGGGGCCCGGAAGCUGGGGGAGACGCAGCCAUUUGGCCCUGGGCUCCCAAGUGUCCUGCUGUCACUGGGUUAAUCCCUGUCCAGGAAGAGCCCAGGGCUCUGCAGAGGAGAGGGGGAAUAAACCAGCAGUGGCAACCCCAAAGGGAGGCUUUUUCUCUCUUGUCCCAUCCUCAGGGCCUAAGACAGAGCUUGGCCUCACCUCUGACACUCAUCAGGUGCUCAGUAGAAGCUUGUUGCUUAGAGAACGCACUUGCCUGUCUGCACGGCUUCAUUUGUUGGUGAUAUGCUUGUUUUCCUCAUUCACUGUGAAAGCAGAACCCGCGUCCUGGCAUAGCGGGAGUUCUUUGUAGCCCACGUUCUCCAACCUCUUCCUCCCUCAAAGCCCUCCCGCGUCUGCCUCUCUCAGGAUCUCUGGAAGUCUCUCUUCUCUAGGAGGGCAGAGGGAGUUAAGGAGUCAGUUACACAGACCCCACUCUGUCCAUGUCCCGCACCAUCAAUCGUGUGGAAAGAUUUCUGUCCCAGCAAGUUAACUUUACACAUCCAUUUCAUCUCUCCAUGUAAGGUGUUGGCCCUGGUCUGGUAAAACACCCACAAUAGGAACAUUUUACAGGAAACUCAUUCUACUCAUAACUCAAAAUGGAAUGGCCAAGUGUAGGCUGGGCAUGACUGUGAAGUCAGAACCACUGAAUUAGGAACAUCAAUUGGAAGCCUCUGAACCCCCCUCCCCUUUUCUACCAAAUUAGUAAAUCCAUCCUGCCUUCCUGGAAGAAUCGCAGAGAUCAGAGCCGCCAUCAGAGGCUUGAAGGGUGGCAAAAUUCUGCCAACCAACUCCUGGCUCACACUAGGAAACUUAGCACUUUGGGAGGCUCAGACACGAGGACUGCUUGAGGUCAGGAGUUUGACACUAGCCUGGACAACAUAGCGAGACCCCAUCUCUACAAAAUGUUAAAAAGAAAAAAAGAGUUAGGUGUGGUUGUGUGCAUCUGUAGUCCCAGCUACUCAGGAGACUGAGGUGGGAGAACUGCUUGAACCUGGGAGGUUGAGACUGCAGUGACUGUGGGAGCCCAGGGGGUUAUGGUGAGCCAUGAUCACGCCCCUGCACUGCAACCUGUGCGACAGAGGGAGACUUUGUCUCUUCAAACAAAUAAAGAACAAGUACAUGAGUUGCUUGAAAGAUUCCCAGUGCCUACUUCCAAUUCAGAGCGCGGUGCUCCACGCAGUUGGGUGCGUUGCUGGGAUUCAGACACGGAGUCUCCCCAAAGCAGCAAGUGGUGAUGCAGCUAGGAACGGGCAGGCCAAGCCCCCCACCCAGCCCCCCGAGGUUGAUGUCCCUUUCCACUUGACACAGAAAAGAGGCAACUCAUCCUACUGCAUUUUAAAAUAAAAAUACUUUAUUGAUGAAGUCAGACAGCAGCUAACAGUUUGAGAAGCUUGGGAAGAAAUCACUUUCACAUGGGGGAUAUAUGCAACCUAGAACAUAUUUGGCUAAGUCAUAAAAUUAACAUUUUUAGUCAUCUGUAAAGUGCUGAGACAUUUAUUUCUGGUGCCUGCCUGUGUUAGGAUUUUUUUCUUGUUAUCCGUCCAGUAAGUGAAACACUGAAAUACACGUUCAGCAGGAUGGCGCUCACUAAGUAUGCACCUUGACAUGAUGGUGUGCACUCAUUAUGCACGUUCUCACGCGGGGCUGGCUCUGCAACUGCAGAAUAGAAACUGAUGCGUUCUGCAGAGGAGGCGUCUGCACAACAGACAGGCUGGCCCGAGGUCACGCCUCUUGGCCUGAGUCCCGCUCAGUGACAGCAGCCAGCAUGGCCUAGCACCAGGAGUCAUUCGGAGCGUGCGUGCUAAAGCAGACACAGCAUUCCACGUCAACAGGGGCAAGAAGCUGCACGAAGGAACUAAGCAAGACUUCUCUGCCUAUCUCCUCUAAUACUAAAGCACACACUUUUCUCCUGUGGAUAGUCACUCUAUUUAUACGAGAAGGGAGGAAUAAUUUGGUGUUGAUGCUUGAGUCCAAAUGUUGAUAGGCACUGAGCAUUUUGGUUCAAAGCAAACAUUAUUUGUGAAAUGCUACAGAUAAUACAUUGACUGAA
Molecule: long non-coding RNA, 2982 nt
Organism: Homo sapiens (human)
Lineage: Eukaryota; Metazoa; Chordata; Mammalia; Primates; Hominidae
Source: Ensembl